CCCUACGGGGCGCAGCAGGCGCGAAAACUCUACAAUGCAGGCAACUGCGAUAGGGGAACAUCGAGUGGCGUCCAUAUUGGAUGUCUGUCCAUCCGCCUAAAAAGCGGGUGUUAGCAAGGGCCGGGCAAGACCGGUGCCAGCCGCCGCGGUAAUACCGGCGGCUCGAGUGGUGGCCACUAUUACUGGGCUUAAAGCGUUCGUAGCUGGGUUGUUAAGUCUCUUGGGAAAUCUACCGGCUUAACCGAUAGGCGUCCAAGGGAUACUGGCAAUCUAGGGACCGGGAGAGGUGAGGGGUACUUCAGGGGUAGGAGUGAAAUCCUGUAAUCCA
RNAcentral lists this ribosomal RNA (328 nucleotides) under uncultured archaeon. RNAcentral describes it as "bacterial SSU rRNA". It matches the Rfam family "Archaeal small subunit ribosomal RNA", at positions 321 to 649 of the family's 1478-position model. The record is from RNAcentral.